RNAcentral lists this long non-coding RNA (743 nucleotides) under Theobroma cacao (cacao). RNAcentral describes it as "long non-coding RNA (TCAC_LNC003389)". The record is from RNAcentral. Lineage: Eukaryota; Viridiplantae; Streptophyta; Magnoliopsida; Malvales; Malvaceae.
UGAGGAGUAAAUUAGAGAGAGAGAGCUGGAGCUCGGACGGCUGCCGACUAGGGAAAAACCAGAUCGGUGCCAAGGAGGAAAGCCAACAAAGCAAAGAAAGAGAGAGAGAAGAGAAUAACCAGCGACGAUGUGAAGAAAAGGGGGUCUGGUUUGGGCGACCAUCGAGCAAUGAGGCAGGAGAAAGAGAUCGGCCGACACCAAAGAAAAGAAAGACAGGUAGAUCCGAUCAUUCAGGUCCCGUCGUCUGUGACAACAGGAAGCCCCACUAGUUGCCAGCGCAGGGAAAAGAGGGGAAAAACUCGAUCGACGCCAAGGAGGAAGGCCGACUAAAAGAAAGAGAAAGGAGAGGGGAAGAAGUCCCCAAGCCGACGCCGGUGAGAGAGAAAAGAGAGAAGGAAAUGUUUGAUUUUUUUAGAGAGAAGGCAGAGCAUCUGCCUUUAGAGAGAGAAACGAGUGGAGAAAAUGGGGAAAGGCCAAAAAAGAGGGAUUAUAUAGGAUAGGUAGAGGUAAAACUGCACCGUUUUGAGAAGGUAGGAUCAAGCGGCUUAAAGGCCUUUGGAACGAUACCGUUUGGUGCUCCAGAAUGUGUGUUUAGGAUAAGUUGUUUGGACCCAGGCCAGAUCGGAGGGGAGCCAAAGCCCAACGGCGCUUAAACCCACUUUGAGCAGUGGGUCAGCUUCAACCCAGUAGGUAAUGGAUCUGCUCACUGAAUAAUGAUUCGGGCUUGGACUAUUGAUGUUGGG